This 502-nucleotide ribosomal RNA is filed under the name uncultured bacterium. RNAcentral describes it as "partial 16S ribosomal RNA". It matches the Rfam family "Bacterial small subunit ribosomal RNA", at positions 28 to 507 of the family's 1533-position model. The record is from RNAcentral.
GACGAACGCCGGCGGCGUGCUUAACACAUGCAAGUCGAACGGUGAAGGGGCCUGCUUUUGUGGGCCCUGGAUGAGUGGCGAACGGGUGAGUAACACGUGAGUAACCUGCCCCCUUCUUCUGGAUAACCGCAUGAAAGUGUGGCUAAUACGGGAUAUUCUGGGUCUGUCGCAUGAUGGGUCUGGGAAAGAUUGCGCCUUUGGGUGUUUUUGGUGGGGGAUGGGCUCGCGGCCUAUCAGCUUGUUGGUGGGGUGAUGGCCUACCAAGGCGGUGACGGGUAGCCGGCCUGAGAGGGUGGACGGUCACACUGGGACUGAGACACGGCCCAGACUCCUACGGGAGGCAGCAGUGGGGAAUAUUGCACAAUGGGCGCAAGCCUGAUGCAGCGACGCCGCGUGAGGGAGGGAGGCCUUCGGGUUGUAAACCUCUUUCGCCAGUGAAGCAGGCCUGCUCCUUGUGGGUGGGUUGACGGUAGCUGGAUAAGAAGCGCCGGCUAACUACGUG